Molecule: small nuclear RNA, 153 nt
Organism: Cricetulus griseus (Chinese hamster)
Lineage: Eukaryota; Metazoa; Chordata; Mammalia; Rodentia; Cricetidae
Gene: U1
Rfam family: U1 spliceosomal RNA
About the family: U1 is a small nuclear RNA (snRNA) component of the spliceosome (involved in pre-mRNA splicing). Its 5' end forms complementary base pairs with the 5' splice junction, thus defining the 5' donor site of an intron. There are significant differences in sequence and secondary structure between metazoan and yeast U1 snRNAs, the latter being much longer (568 nucleotides as compared to 164 nucleotides in human).
Source: Ensembl
AUACGUAGCUGGCAGGAGAGAUGCCAUGAUCAUGAAAGUGUUUUUUGCAGGAUGAGGCUCAUCCAUUUCAUGCUGACCCCAUGAUUUUCCCAAACACGAAACACUGGCUGCAAAUUUUGUAGUAGUGGAGGGCUACAUUCACAAUUUCCUCUG